CUUCUCUCAGGGUCACACCUGGAGAGUUUCCAGUAGUCUACCAGUCUUGACUACGGGAGGGAGAAUCAUGCAGAGGCAUAUCCAUUCUAUUUCUAGCUUGGGUAGUGGCUAGCGAGUGAAAGGCAAUCUGCUACAAGU
This 138-nucleotide small nucleolar RNA is filed under the name Ornithorhynchus anatinus (platypus). The record is from RNAcentral. Lineage: Eukaryota; Metazoa; Chordata; Mammalia; Monotremata; Ornithorhynchidae.